Long non-coding RNA from Penaeus chinensis, 247 nucleotides. RefSeq lists it as uncharacterized. The record is from RefSeq and is a predicted model, not a curated record. The transcript has 3 exons. Lineage: Eukaryota; Metazoa; Arthropoda; Malacostraca; Decapoda; Penaeidae.
CAUAGUGUGAGUCAGUCUGUUACAUCAAACCUGUAGAGGGAAUAUAUCUGCUCCUGUUACUGUGAGAGAGCUAGCGAUAGAGUGAACACACUUAUCAGGUUUCUUGUGAAGCUCGAACUCUGCAGACUGAACCCCGUAAAAAUCACCACACAGGAAUAUCAUAGUGAGAUCGCUCUUUCCGUCUCUCGUGCAGAAAGCUUUCUCAGAUCCCGACUCCAUUCCUGUAGCGAGAAAUAAAAGUAAAAUA